Molecule: microRNA precursor, 95 nt
Organism: Eutrema salsugineum
Lineage: Eukaryota; Viridiplantae; Streptophyta; Magnoliopsida; Brassicales; Brassicaceae
Rfam family: mir-395 microRNA precursor family
About the family: mir-395 was identified in both Arabidopsis thaliana and Oryza sativa computationally and was later experimentally verified. mir-395 is thought to target mRNAs coding for ATP sulphurylases.
Source: Rfam
AUGUUUCCUAGAGUUCCUCUGAGCACUUCAUUGGAAACACCAUUUUCAGUCAAAAUGUAUUCCACUGAAGUGUUUGGGGGAACUCUUGGACUCAU